RNAcentral lists this long non-coding RNA (298 nucleotides) under Vitis vinifera (wine grape). Its description in RNAcentral is "long non-coding RNA (VVIN_LNC008233)". The record is from RNAcentral. Lineage: Eukaryota; Viridiplantae; Streptophyta; Magnoliopsida; Vitales; Vitaceae.
GGACAUCAAGGUCUCAUCAUCAAGGGACAGAUCUAGUUUGCUUUCAAGAAACCAAGGUGAAUCAUCUGUCUACACAACUGAUGAGGAGCCUGGGAGCAGGAAGAUUGUUAGAGUGCAAAGCUAUGGAUGUCAGAGGUUUGUCAGGAGACAGUCUGGUCUCAGAGAAAUCAUAAAAAAUUAGGCAAAGUGUAACUUUUAUUUGAAAGUUAAUGUUUCUGUUUGUGCCACUUAAUAGAAAAAGACACAAAAAUAAUGAAGUCAUAAAAAGAAUUGAGCAAGGGAAGUGGUGAAUAUCAAC